This 348-nucleotide ribosomal RNA is filed under the name uncultured rumen bacterium. Its description in RNAcentral is "bacterial SSU rRNA". It matches the Rfam family "Bacterial small subunit ribosomal RNA", at positions 19 to 363 of the family's 1533-position model. The record is from RNAcentral.
UUGGCUCAGGAUGAACGCUGGCGGCAGGCCUAACACAUGCAAGUCGAACGGUAACAGGAAGAAGCUUGCUUCUUUGCUGACGAGUGGCGGACGGGUGAGUAAUGUCUGGGAAACUGCCUGAUGGAGGGGGAUAACUACUGGAAACGGUAGCUAAUACCGCAUAACGUCGCAAGACCAAAGAGGGGGACCUUCGGGCCUCUUGCCAUCGGAUGUGCCCAGAUGGGAUUAGCUAGUAGGUGGGGUAACGGCUCACCUAGGCGACGAUCCCUAGCUGGUCUGAGAGGAUGACCAGCCACACUGGAACUGAGACACGGUCCAGACUCCUACGGGAGGCAGCAGUGGGGAAUA